RNAcentral lists this long non-coding RNA (982 nucleotides) under Coturnix japonica (Japanese quail). RNAcentral describes it as "lncRNA (ENSCJPG00005000111.1)". The record is from RNAcentral. Lineage: Eukaryota; Metazoa; Chordata; Aves; Galliformes; Phasianidae.
AAGCCACAGAAUUGCUGAGUUGGAAGAGGCUAACAGAUCAUGGAGUCCAACUUUCCAAUCAGCAGUGCCUUCCAUAAUCCUCAUUCCUGUACUGCUCUUGAAAGAAGAAAAAAAUCUUAAUUGAGAGAAUAAAAAUGUUGCACUUUUUAUUUUCUGUUCAGGGAGGGUCUUCUGUCAGUGAUAAUGGCAAUGAAUCCUAUGGUCAGGAUGGAUCUUCUGCAUAUGGUGGCACUGCCUCUUAUGGUCAGGACUCACCAUCCAUGGGAGUUAGUGAAUCUGAUUACAGUGAUUCCGCCUCAUCAUCUUACAACCGUCAGAGUGAACGGGAUUUUUAUUCCCCUGGAGGCAGCCAGUCAGGUGGACAUGGAUUAUCUUCUCAAGGUGGUGGCUACUCCGGUGGACAGGGCUCAUCCUCAUUAGGAAGCAACCAGUAUGGUGGGCAGGGUAUGCCUUCAAGAGGCAGCCAGUCUGGUGGACAGGGUGGAUGUGAUUGCUCUGGUGCAAGCUCUACUGGAUCAUAUUCCUCACACAGAAGUAAUUCCUCUUCAAAUGACACAUCUUAUUCUGGAGGAAGCCAUUACAGUAGCUAUGAUUCCUCUUCACCAUCUUACAACCGUCAGAAUGAACGGGAGUCAUAUUCUUCUGGAGCUAGUCAAUAUGGUGGACAAGGAUUUCCAUCUCGUGGAAGCAGCCAGUAUGGUGGACAAGGUCCAUCUUCCUCAGGUGGCAGCCAUUAUGGAGGACAGGGCUUUUCUUCAGGAGGUGGACAGGGUAUGCCUUCAAGAGGCAGCCAGUCUGGUGGACAGGGUGGAUGUCAUUGUCCUGGUGGGAGCCCGGGCUCUUUUGGAGGAAGCAACUACCAUGGUGGACAGGGCUCAUCUUAUUCUGGAGGCCGACAGCAUGGUAAACCAGUAAGUAAAAACUUAUCAAGUUUUCCUUAUAUUUUUCUCAUUACUCUGUUAUAUACAAAAAGAGUUUUUUU